AUGACCCGGUCCUCUCUCCUCCUCACCCUUCUCAUUCACUGCACAGGCUCCUGGGCCCAGUCGGUGCUGACGCAGCCGCCCUCAGUGUCUGCGGACCCAGGACAGAGGGUCACCAUCUCCUGCUCUGGAAGCAGCUCCAACAUCGGGAGGUAUUAUGCAUCCUGCUACCAGCAGCUCCCAGGAGCAGCCCCCAAACUCCUCAUCUAUGACGUUAAUAAGCGACCCUUAGGGGUCCUUGACCGAUUCUCUGGCUCCCAGUCUGGCACCUCUGCCACCCUGGGCAUCACUGGACUCCGGCCUGAGGAUGAGGCCGAUUAUUACUGCUUAGCAUGGGAUAACAGUCUGAGUGCUCACAUGGUGCUUCAGGCCAAUGGGGAACUGAGACAAGAACCCCCUUCCUCCUCUGCCAGGAGGGUGAGUGCCUGCAGCUGCUGCUCACGCCUGACCUGUAGCUUCUGCUGCUGCAGCUCCCCCA
This is a non-coding RNA of Chlorocebus sabaeus (green monkey), 475 nucleotides long. The record is from RefSeq and is a predicted model, not a curated record. NCBI's taxonomy places the organism in Eukaryota, Metazoa, Chordata, Mammalia, Primates, Cercopithecidae.